AAGUCGUAACAAGGUUUCCGUAGGUGAACCUGCGGAAGGAUCAUUACCGAAUUGUCAACAAGAGUUGUUGCUGGUCCCCAUACGGGGGCAUGUGCACGCUCUGUUUACACAUCCACUCACACCUGUGCACCCUCUGUAGUUCUAUGGCUUGGGUGGGCUCCGUCCUCCUGCUGUGGUUCUACGUCUUUACACACACACUACAACAAAGUCUCAUGGAAUGUAUGUCGCGUUUAACGCAAUGAAAUACAACUUUCAGCAACGGAUCUCUUGGCUCUC
RNAcentral lists this unclassified non-coding RNA (276 nucleotides) under Tomentella stuposa. RNAcentral describes it as "partial internal transcribed spacer region". The stretch from base 1 to 46 matches the Rfam family "Eukaryotic small subunit ribosomal RNA", at positions 1786 to 1831 of the family's 1831-position model. Lineage: Eukaryota; Fungi; Basidiomycota; Agaricomycetes; Thelephorales; Thelephoraceae. RNAcentral also lists the same sequence under 1 other name. The record is from RNAcentral.